Long non-coding RNA from Gasterosteus aculeatus aculeatus (three-spined stickleback), 256 nucleotides. The record is from Ensembl. NCBI's taxonomy places the organism in Eukaryota, Metazoa, Chordata, Actinopteri, Perciformes, Gasterosteidae.
CCUGAUCUCAGCAUGCGGAGAGCUGAUGUGCUGCUCAACGUGGAUCCCCAAGCGAGAGACGCCUGCCUGUGGCGAAAAAAGCACAGCGGAAGAUGUUAGAUGAAGAAGUGCUCUGCGGUUCUGAUCCCACUGAGGCCUGCGCUGACCUCCAUGGACUGCCUGCAGAACGCCACCGUGGCCCCCGACGCACUGGAGUGUGCGAAGUGCUUCUGAUCCCGGGAAGUGUCAUCAAAGUGCAUCGCGAACCCCAGUGAGG